This is a non-coding RNA of Microcebus murinus (gray mouse lemur), 554 nucleotides long. The record is from RefSeq and is a predicted model, not a curated record. Lineage: Eukaryota; Metazoa; Chordata; Mammalia; Primates; Cheirogaleidae.
GAGAAAACAAGCAUAAAGAAGAACCUGUUCCACAAAAACAACAAUUCAGCUCUACAUCCAGAACUUCAGACAAUGAACAUCAACUAGGAAUGUGUCUGUCCUCAUAACGAUUCCCAGUCUAGACACCAUGGAUAUGAGAAGUGAUCAAGGAUCACUACGUGGCACAGAUACUCUACCAGACUGCCCACCAGCUUGGCACCAAGUCAGGUUUCCAGUGAUAAAGUCAACCUUCCUGUCUCUCUCCUUCGGGGCAAACAGGUGCUCUUGCAGAAAGUUACACAACUCUGCACCUCGAUUCAACUCUAAAGUCAUAAUGUGUAACCAUAGUGGCCACGUCAAAGCUGUUCAAUUUUCUUUCAAUUAAUCCUUAAUUAACUCCUUGGAGCAUUCCUCAUAGAAGCAAUUCUUCUUUCCUCACUCCCUGAGAUUCCUUCCCAUGUUUUAGCUCACCCAAUCACAGCAGUUGACCUCACAUCCUUCUUUAUCUGGAGGGGUUGGACCAUCCAUCCUGUCCUACUCUUUUGCCCUCUCUACUAUACACUGAGUACAGGACC